This 348-nucleotide ribosomal RNA is filed under the name uncultured Helicobacter sp. Its description in RNAcentral is "bacterial SSU rRNA". It matches the Rfam family "Bacterial small subunit ribosomal RNA", at positions 85 to 450 of the family's 1533-position model. Lineage: Bacteria; Pseudomonadati; Campylobacterota; Epsilonproteobacteria; Campylobacterales; Helicobacteraceae. The record is from RNAcentral.
AAGUGGAUUAGUGGCGCACGGGUGAGUAAUACAUAGAUAACAUACCCUUUAGUCUGGAAUAGCCACUGGAAACGGUGAUUAAUACUGGAUACUCCCUACGGGGGAAAGUUUUUCGCUAAAGGAUUGGUCUAUGUCCUAUCAGCUUGUUGGUGAGGUAAUGGCUCACCAAGGCUAUGACGGGUAUCCGACCUGAGAGGGUGAACGGACACACUGGAACUGAGACACGGUCCAGACUCCUACGGGAGGCAGCAGUAGGGAAUAUUGCUCAAUGGGGGAAACCCUGAAGCAGCAACGCCGCGUGGAGGAUGAAGGUUUUAGGAUUGUAAACUCCUUUUGUUAGAGAAGAUU